GACGAACGCUGGCGGCGUGCUUAACACAUGCAAGUCGAACGGAAAGGCCCUGCUUUUGUGGGGUGCUCGAGUGGCGAACGGGUGAGUAACACGUGAGUAACCUGCCCCUGACUUUGGGAUAACAUCAGGAAACUGGGGCUAAUACCGGAUAGGAGCUCCUGCUGCAUGGGGGGGGUUGGAAAGUUUCGGCGGUUGGGGAUGGACUCGCGGCUUAUCAGCUUGUUGGUGGGGUAGGUGCUUACCAAGGCUUUGACGGGUAGCCGGCCUGAGAGGGUGACCGGCCACAUUGGGACUGAGAUACGGCCCAGACUCCUACGGGAGGCAGCAGUGGGGAAUAUUGCACAGUGGGCGGAAGCCUGAUGCAGCAACGCCGCGUGCGGGAUGACGGCCUUCGGGUUGUAAACCGCUUUCGCCUGUGACGAAGCGUGAGUGACGGUAAUGGGUAAAGAAGCACCGGCUAACUACGUG
Molecule: ribosomal RNA, 468 nt
Filed under: uncultured bacterium
Lineage: Bacteria
Description: partial 16S ribosomal RNA
Rfam family: Bacterial small subunit ribosomal RNA
Source: RNAcentral